Aotus nancymaae (Ma's night monkey) is the source of this 115-nucleotide ribosomal RNA. The record is from Ensembl. Lineage: Eukaryota; Metazoa; Chordata; Mammalia; Primates; Aotidae.
GUCUAUGGCCAUACCGCCCUGAAUGUUCCCUGUCUCUUCUGAUCGUGUGAAACUAAGCAGGGUCAGGCUUGGUUAGUACUUGGAUGGGAGAUUAUGGCAAAGCUGAGCCAAGAUU